ACACAAUUCUAAUGGGUUGGGGAAUCAAGUGCUACCUGGCUGGAUCUCUCAGGAGCAUGGAUUCUCUCCGGAGGUUAUAGGCAAACUAUCAGCCAUCUUGUCCAUGGUCAUAUGGAGCCAUGCUCUUCAUACCCUGCACCAGCCAGCACUACUGUGGACAGAUAAGCAAGCUGUCCAGCUACCCCAGCAAGCUCUCAAACAGUCUCCCUGUGAAGAAGACAGACCCAGGUCUCUGGGUAGGAGGCUGCCAACUUUUUGGAAAAGGCCUUUGCUGCAACUACUGUGUGGGCCUCCGCAAAGGCGAGGGUGACAGGAACAGCAAGGUUUCAUGGGAGACAUCACCAACAGUAACAGUUUUAAACAUU
This 365-nucleotide long non-coding RNA is filed under the name Mus spretus (western wild mouse). RNAcentral describes it as "lncRNA (ENSMSPG00010018844.1)". The record is from RNAcentral. Lineage: Eukaryota; Metazoa; Chordata; Mammalia; Rodentia; Muridae.